CAGUCGCCGCGGGAAUACGUAGGUGGCAAGCGUUGUCCGGAAUUAUUGGGCGUAAAGGGCUCACAGGCGGUUUCUUAAGUCUGAUGUGAAAGCCCCCGGCUCAACCGGGGAGGGUCACUGGAAACUGGGAAACUUGAGUGCAGAAGAGGAGAGUGGAAUUCCACGUGUAGCGGUGAAAUGCGUAGAGAUGUGGAGGAACACCAGUGGCGAAGGCGACUCUCUGGUCUGUAACUGACGCUGAGGAGCGAAAGCGUGGGGAGCGAACAGGAUUAGAUACCCGCGUAGUCCCUGUCUCUUAUAC
This 301-nucleotide ribosomal RNA is filed under the name uncultured bacterium. RNAcentral describes it as "partial 16S ribosomal RNA". It matches the Rfam family "Bacterial small subunit ribosomal RNA", at positions 509 to 807 of the family's 1533-position model. The record is from RNAcentral.